Molecule: ribosomal RNA, 301 nt
Filed under: uncultured bacterium
Lineage: Bacteria
Description: partial 16S ribosomal RNA
Rfam family: Bacterial small subunit ribosomal RNA
Source: RNAcentral
CAGCAGCCGCGGGAAUACGGAGGGGGCUAGCGUUGUUCGGAAUUACUGGGCGUAAAGCGCACGUAGGCGGCUUGGUAAGUUAGAGGUGAAAGCCUGGAGCUCAACUCCAGAAUUGCCUUUAAGACUGCCGAGCUAGCAGGUGAGAGAGGUAAGUGGAAUUCCGAGUGUAGAGGUGAAAUUCGUAGAUAUUCGGAAGAACACCAGUGGCGAAGGCGGCUUACUGGCUCAUACUGGACGCUGAGGUGCGAAAGCGUGGGGAGCAAACAGGAUUAGAUACCCCAGUAGUCCCUGUCUCUUAUAC